This is a long non-coding RNA of Cygnus olor (mute swan), 2814 nucleotides long. RefSeq lists it as uncharacterized. NCBI's taxonomy places the organism in Eukaryota, Metazoa, Chordata, Aves, Anseriformes, Anatidae. The record is from RefSeq and is a predicted model, not a curated record. The transcript has 3 exons.
CACAUACGGAAACUUUUCUGAGUUUAUAUCCUGGACUGACCUGACAGAUAUCUUCAGGGAGGAUUGCUGGUGCAAUGCUGGGGAUAAACACGGCUCCAGCAGCUUGCUCUGACUAAACAGGAAACAGCCGAAGCCAGGGCAACUCCGUGCCUUGUUCUUCUGCCAUGUGUCACCUUUACUGAGGAUAAAAGGUUCGAUGACUCGCAGCGAUGUCUCUGAAGAGACAACAGAGAAAGGCAAAUAAAGGAUGGGGAUUCACUAACCUUGCCUGACAAAGACUCCAAGCUCCAGUUCCCACUUCAUGAAGAAUCCAAGUCUUCAGUUCAGCUUCACUUCUGUUAGCACCACGGAGAAAUCUCAGACAAGACAGAUGCCUGCAGCCACCAGAAGCCUUAAAUUAAACCUAAAAAUAGAAAGCUACAGAAUUUAUAAAUAUUUUUGCAAAUCAACCUUUUAAAACUACCCUCCGUCUGUAGCUUUGAUAGUUAGCAUUGAAACCCAAGUAUAUUUCUGCAGAAGAGAAAGCUGACCAAGCAGCCCAAGAAAUUCUGCAGAGCUCCGCAAAUUGCAGGAGGCCUAGGGAAGGAAAUCACUGCAUGCCAAAUUUUUCCACUGAUUUCUAUUGUCUCCACUUAUCGUACGUUACACUAGCAAUUUGCCGUGGAGUGCUGUAUCUUCCACACAGUUCUUACCUGCCUAAUAGCCUGAUUAUAUCUUAUGACUUUGUAUUCUCAUUCAACAUAAUUUAUUCUUGACUUAGAAAAUAUGACUGUCUGCAGAGAAACAUCCAGCCCUUGUUCUCUUUCUUCACAAAUUAGUUUAAAGAAGGAUCGACCAGUGGUGUCGAAAGCCUGUAUUAGAUCUGCUAAGAUCUCUUCCUCUUAGGAUUUGAUUUCUGUUGCUGGAGGCUACCCUUGAUAUUUAUGUGGAAUGAAAUAUUGUUCAUCCCCUUCACAAAGAGAUGGUUGGUUCCAUUCACUACUUGCAUGAACCUCAGACAGUGUUUACAUAGUACGUAUUCAAAACGUGCCAGCUAUUUCUUACCAUCGUGUUGCCUCCCUGGCCGUGGGCUGGGCUUGUGUUUUAUCAGAGGGUGGCUGUUUACCUGGAGUCUCUUUUCUAUCUUUCUCUGUGCAAUCAUUUCCCAAAUUGCCUAAUUAAAUAUGGUUAUAAAGAGGAAGAAGUGGAGGAAAAAGAACUGCAGAAUUCCCCUGCAAUAAGUUCCUUCAGCUCUUCUUCCACAGACUUGUUCCUCUCUCCCUCAUACCUGGGGUUUGGAUACCAGCAUGUAACUCCUUACAAAACCCAGGGCUCCCUUCUCUGCUUUUCUGAUGCCAGCAUGUGGACAUCACUGUGGAGCAAGUCCCUGUGGACGUUUUCCAUGUAUACGUGAUGUCAGAGUAAACCUCUAGCCAGGGACUUCUCUCAUCUUUUGUCUGUCCCCUAAUCCCUUUAUUUCUGCUUUCACAUCAAUGAUCUGGCAGAUAGUCAGGGGACAUUUUUAAGAAAGUUGCAUUUUGCAGAAAGUUGCUACCACCAUAGUAAUUUCUGAUUCUAUGGGUGGUCUUUCCUGUUGAAACCUCUCUUAAGGUUGGUCUCUACUACCAAGGCUCUGUCAAGAAAGUCAAGCUAGCAAAAUCUUGACAAGCAUGAAGUUCGGAGUCUAAAAACUACUUUGCUGCCUGUGUUGCUGACGAGACUUCUCUAAUUGCCUAAGCCAUCCUGCAAAAGAUUUCCUUUGCUGCUAGAAAUUGUGCCAGCCCAGGUAAUUUCCUUUCUAAGCUAUUUUGGCAAAAUGCUGCCCAUGUACUGCUUUGCAGGCUAAACGGAUCCCUACAGGGGAUUUUUUUUGAACCAGGUGAAUUCUUUCUAUUGGCCUACUAUGAAUUUCUGUGGGAAUCUAACUUGGGUCACAGCAAAGCCUUUGGUUUAGCCUGCAGCAGUGGGAAGAUGAGAGGAAGAAGGCAAGAGGCAUCUCUACUGAACUUAAAUCACAGUCAGGGCAGACAAAAACGGCCUAGCACAUCUCAGUAUGCCUAAUCCAGCUAAGUAGCUCAGAUACAUAUAUCAGCCAUCGCUCGAGUGUGUGAACAUUGACAGUAAGUAACCUUCUUCUGCUCUGCAUUAAAGUCAUAAUGGACAAGACAUAUUAGGUAUUUUCUUAUGUCUUUGCAGCCCUUUGAAAAUGCAGGGCCAGAUACACAGCUGCUUUAGAUUAAUGCCAAUGCACCCAUUUACACCAGCUGACAGCCCAGUCCACAGUUCACUAAGUGCUAUUUAUUAUUUUAUUUUGUUUGCUAGAGUGACAAAAGAAAUGACAUUGAUACACAGGUCAAUUCAAUCCUGCUGACAUAGCCUCGAGGGGGUUGGUUUGGUUUGGUGGUUGUUGUUGUUUUGGUUUUUGUUGGUUUUGUUUUCCGUCUCCCAAGAGAAUCUCCUUUACAGCUCUAUUUUUUGUUAAUGUUUAUUUAAUAAGAUUGGCACAUUGGCAGUCUCAUAAGCUUGCUAUUUUAUAUAUCUCUCAAUUUCCUUAGCUUUAUUAAUCAUCAUGGUACUUGAAGUUGCUAGCAUGAAAAAUGCACUGUAAGAAUAAAUAAUCAUUAUUAUCAAAGUGCUUUCAUAAAAAUGAUCUGUAGGAUUAAAUCCUUAUUACAGCAGCAUUAUUAGUCAUGAUUAUUAUUAUUAUUACAUAUUAAUUAGUAGUGCUGAGAUAGCACAGCUUAACAUGCUUUCAGAGUUAUCUUUACCAAAGUCAGUUAAAUAUGAAGGUUUAAAAUUCCGAUAGAUUUAGUGGUUUAGGACAAGGGAGUGGGA